AGUCACUGACAUUAGAUACCCCCGUAGUCCAGGGUGUAAACGCUGCAGACUUGGUGUUGGAGGCCCUUUGGGGGCAUUCAGUGCCGGAGAGAAGUCGUUAAGUCUGCUACUUGGGGAGUACGUCCGCAAGGAUGAAACUUAAAGGAAUUGGCGGGGGAGCACCGCAACGGGAGGAGCGUGCGGUUUAAUUUGGAUUCAACACCGUAAACUCACCAGGGAAGACUGUUUACAUGAAGGCCGAGAUGAAGACUCUGCUAGAUUUUCAG
Molecule: ribosomal RNA, 266 nt
Filed under: uncultured archaeon
Lineage: Archaea
Description: partial 16S ribosomal RNA
Rfam family: Archaeal small subunit ribosomal RNA
Source: RNAcentral